Long non-coding RNA from Felis catus (domestic cat), 827 nucleotides. RefSeq lists it as uncharacterized. The record is from RefSeq and is a predicted model, not a curated record. The transcript is spliced from 2 exons. NCBI's taxonomy places the organism in Eukaryota, Metazoa, Chordata, Mammalia, Carnivora, Felidae.
GGCUCCGAGCCGUCAGCACAGAGCCCGACGCGGGGCUCGAACCCGUGAACCGCGAGAUCGUGACCUGAGCCAAAGUCGGACGCUUAAACGACUGAGCCACCCAGGCGCCCCGGGAAUGGCAGUUUCUUAAAGCGUUCGAUGCACGCCUACCCGGUGACCCGGCCAUUCUAGAAACGCGCCCAGGUGCCCACCAAAAAUCACGUUCUAGAAUGUUCAUGGUAAGACUCUUUGAGACAGCCAAGAGCUUGGGAGUCGUCCGAAGAGCCAUCAACGGGUGAACAGGACAAAUGUGGUCUCUUCCCGCGGGGCCGUGCGUUAGAGGAGACUCGGUCCGCGUCUGCCGCGCACAGCGCCGUGAAUCACGGACGCGACGUGGAAUGAGACGGGGAAAUGUGCACAUACCGUGUGACUGCUGUCCCUGCAAGUUGCUCGGCUCCCCUGUUUUUCCCUCUGGGGCUCCGGGGAAGAGGUUCUUUGUCUCCGAGCGCGGUCUGGCCUCGAUUCCACCAGAAGCUGGCAACCCUGAGAGACAGAAAAGCAGCUCAUGUUCCUCCCGGGGCUCGGAUGUCCCAGCGCUGGACAAGGACAAUUGUUUGGUUGCCUGGAGCGAGCUCGCUUGCCCUGACGGUGGCCUCGAAGCCCCGGUCACGUCCCGGCUCGAAGCGUGGCCAGGAGUGGCCAGCCCCAGAGUCAAGGACAAAGACGUUUUUAGAAGAGUUGCUGAAAAACACUUUGGCAGCUUCUCAGGGUCUGCUCAGGCCUGUAACUUACCUCAGGGUCUAACUAGAAGGUAUUUGCAGCCCAUAAAAUUGACAUGAGGCAUCUUA